This 520-nucleotide ribosomal RNA is filed under the name uncultured Pseudomonadota bacterium. RNAcentral describes it as "bacterial SSU rRNA". It matches the Rfam family "Bacterial small subunit ribosomal RNA", at positions 384 to 896 of the family's 1533-position model. Lineage: Bacteria; Pseudomonadati; Pseudomonadota. The record is from RNAcentral.
CGAUCCAGCCAUGCCGCGUGUGUGAAGAAGGCUUUCGGGUUGUAAAGCACUUUCAGUGAGGAAGAAGGCCUUGGGGCUAAUACCCCCGAGGAAGGACAUCACUCACAGAAGAAGCACCGGCUAACUCCGUGCCAGCAGCCGCGGUAAUACGGAGGGUGCGAGCGUUAAUCGGAAUUACUGGGCGUAAAGCGCGCGUAGGCGGCGUGAUAAGCCGGUUGUGAAAGCCCCGGGCUCAACCUGGGAACGGCACCCGGAACUGUCAGGCUAGAGUGCAGGAGAGGAAGGUAGAAUUCCCGGUGUAGCGGUGAAAUGCGUAGAGAUCGGGAGGAAUACCAGUGGCGAAGGCGGCCUUCUGGACUGACACUGACGCUGAGGUGCGAAAGCGUGGGUAGCAAACAGGAUUAGAUACCCUGGUAGUCCACGCCGUAAACGAUGUCGACUAGCCGUUGGGGUCCUUGAGACCUUUGUGGCGCAGUUAACGCGAUAAGUCGACCGCCUGGGGAGUACGGCCGCAAGGUUA